RNAcentral lists this long non-coding RNA (6433 nucleotides) under Sus scrofa (pig). Its description in RNAcentral is "lncRNA (ENSSSCG00000053257.1)". Lineage: Eukaryota; Metazoa; Chordata; Mammalia; Artiodactyla; Suidae. The record is from RNAcentral.
UUUGAUCCCUGGCCUCACUCAGUGGGUUCGGGAUCUGGCAACAAACUGUGGUGUAGGUCACAGAUGCGGCUCAGAUUCCACAUUACUGCGGCUGUGGUGUAGGCUGGCAGAUCUAGCUCCGAUUCAACUCCUAGCCUGGGAACUUCCAUGCCUUGGAUGCCACCCUAAAAAAAAAAAAAAAAAAAAAAAAAAAAAAAUGAAUUGCCAGUUCUGGAAUAUUCUGCCUCAGUAGAUAUAUUUGCUGGACCAUCUUUGAAAGAGGACAUUCAGGAUCAUAUCCCAUCAAGGUGUUUACAAAUAGGCCCACUCUUAGCAGAUUUUAAUCCUUCUCUUUUUACUUUUUCAAAACUCACUCAUUCACGUAAGUACUUUCUUCCCAAGCAGAGUUAACAAGGCAACAGGUGGGGAUCCAGGGACAUCAGGGGCCCUGUUUGUAUUUCUCAAAAUUGAAGCACAUACCUGUUCCAGGGUACAGAGCAAGCCCACACAGCCCAGUUCAGUCAUCCCAAAGCCCCCAGAACUGGAUCAACUAUUCCAGGAGGGCCUGGGACAAGUAAAACCAACUUUUGAUUAGAAUUAGCAUCCUGGAACUUGUGGGGGAGGGGGUUCCUUUCCAAGAAUAAACCUAUUUUAAGUAAUGAGAUGUUAUUCAAAUCUGAAAGGAAAAGAGAAAGCAACCACCAAGGGAAAUUUAAUCGUCUGGAGUAAACUAUAAGAACAAUAAACCCUACAAUUUGGAAUUUGAUAAAUUCCGAGUUUGUGAUCGUUUGUGACCUGGAGGAGAGAGUUUAGGUUUCUAUUACCUUUGCACUACGUUUGUAAAUAUGGACCAGGACAAAACGUGAUGGAACAUUUUCAACUAAAAUAACAGAACUAUUUUUAAGGGUCUGAGCUGAUUAAUUGGGAUAUGGAACUGUUUAACAUUUUUUAUCUAUGUAUCUUUACUAAGGCCUUUCAUGUAGUUGGAAAGAGUUCUUUUUGAUGACUUAGGUAAUUGUGUGCACCAUAAAAGUGGUAAAACUGAUUUUUUUUAAUUAAAAAAAUUUCUAAAAUUCAAACAUUUCAUGAAGAAUGACCUUAUUACGCAGUUUACAUCUGUACAUUUAUCAGAACAAACAUGUUACCGGCCUUCCAUCUACUGUCAGUUGAAACUUUUAGAACUCCAGUCUCCUGCCUUUGAAAAUCAAAUUGGUUCAAAUUCAGUCUGGGGUUGUCAGAUUGAGCAAAUAGAAACCCAGAACGCCAUGAUAAAUUUGAAUUUCAGAUAAACAACAAUUAAGUAUGUCCCCUAUUUGGAUACUUACAUUAAAUAUUUUAUAGCAAAUAUGCUAAAUAUUUUAUUGUAUUACCUACAAUAGUACAUCCUGUAUUUUAUCUGCUGACUCUAAUUAGGGAGAGAUUUAAAUUGUGUUUAUGCCUUUUCUCUAAUGAUUUCAUACUACUUUGCGUGUUUAAUCAAACCUUCCAAAGUAUCUUUAUUUUAAGGAAGGGACAGAAUAACGCCUCUUGGACUCAUGGAGUGUUAACUUGGCCUGUUUCUCACCUGAUAAACCUUGAAAUAGAGAUAGUGCACACAGCUGAAACUAGACUAGAUCCCAGAUCCCAGACGCAUCACUUUCUCACCCCUGGGUUAUGGGACCUUAUUUAUAUAUAUAUAUUAUACCCCCCACACAUAUAUAUACAUAUGCACAUUUGUCUUUUUAAGGCCAUACCCAUGGCAUAUGGAAGCUGCCAGGCUAGGAGUCAAAUCAGAGCUGCAGCUGCAGGCCAACACCACAGCCACAGCAAUAUGGGAUCUGAGCCGUGUCUGUGACCUACAACACAGCUCACAGCAAUGCUGGAUCCCUAACCCGCUGAACAAGGCCAGGGAUUGAACCCGAGUCCUCAUAGAUACUAGUCGGGUUCGUUACUGCUGAGCCAUGACACGAACUCCUGUGGGACCUUAUUUUUAAAGCAUUAAAUUAUAUGCACCAUGUGCUGUGGGUCCAAGCUGAGUUUGGAGACUCCUUCUGAAUCCCUAUUCAGGGUCACUCCUUAGUACCUUGGAAUUCCACAGGGUUCUUUUUAUCAUGCCGACCUGGACCCACUCCCGACAUUCACCUGGCAAUUAAGAUGAUAGCAGUGAUAAUUUGGGCUUUAUGAAGUACUGGCUUGAUGGAGUAACAUAAGCAUAGAACUACAGAGCCAUAAAUGUAGAGAACAAGCAUGAUAUCAGUGGGAAUCUUGGCAUCCAAAAAGCAUUUAAAAAAUCAGCCUGUCAGUGUCUUUAUUAUGAAAUAGCUUUGAUUUUCAAAGGACUUUGCAGCCAUUCCAAGCACCGGCCCAUGUAAUAAUGGGUUCUGUUUUUGUUUUCUCUGCUACCUGUACGUAGGUGGGGAGGGCGGGGGAGGUGGGAAGGGUAUCUUGUUUUUUUAGUGUGAUAUUUACCUAGAGAUAAUAAACUGGAAAUCUUUUGCACAUCUCUGGUCCCUGAAAUCGGCUGUGAAAAGAUUUCUGUAAUUGGGAAAUCGCCAGCGUCUUGUGACUUACUUAACAUUUGGUGCAAAAACCAGUCAAUAGAAAACAAGUGGAAGCCAAGCAGGGGAAAACUUGACAGACAAGCUCCAGAUCAUCACAGCACUGGUUUCCCACCCCCACCCCCACCCCCCGCCCCAGGUCUUCAGUGGAUGAAAUGUCAAAUGAAACAAGCCCUUUUAAUUCUUCUAUUAAAUCCAGCUUUUAAUAACAAGCAUCCUGGAAGAGGAACAGCUAAUAUUUGUCUUAUGAAAUGUAACAGCCGGCGCCCUUCUUAAACACAAACCUGCUCAUAGGACUUUAGCGUGGGCUCAAGGCUGACAAGUUUGCAGACACUCCAGCUUGUCAAUUAAUCAGAUCCAGAUGCUUCUUCCAAACCCUUUGCACUGUCUCUGCAUCCCUUCCCAUGGAGUGGAUGGUGGAGGAGCGAGAGAUUGGGAUGAGCCAGAGUCUGCCAAAGGCCUUUGUAUUCCGAGAAGUUCUGCCAUGUUUUCUUGAUAAUUCUCUUUGUUUCACUCAUGGAGCCUUUGCCCUGGCCAGCAAAGAGCAUGAAGGGGAGGAAAGACAGCGGUUAGAUGCAGCAUCUAGACCCGAGAGAAGCAGGUGUGUCUUCAUUUCCAUCUUUCACUCUUCUGCCAACUCCGGGGGUCCACCGCCUCCUAAGUGGAACUUGGAAGGAGGCACAGACCUGAGAGAAGAUCUGAAAGAGGGCAAUGCCAUCCCAGCCCAGUGUCACAGGGUAAUUUCCAGCAGUUCGACUCAGUGUCUCAUCAGUGACCUGCCAGGGGAGGCAGUGACUUAUGGGUUGGGCAGAGGGCGAGGGGCAGAGAAGGGAGAAGAGGAAACUAGAAAUAAAGGGAUUCUCUUUGUGUAUGGGGAGGGGGUGGUGAACGGACAGCCCCUCCUCUGCAGUUUUCAUUUCACCACUUCACAGUAGUCUCUCCAGCCACCACUUCAUCCUCACACCCACCCCUGCCAUCCUGACUUUUGUAAUAAAGAACAUGGCAGCUUUCUGUAUUUCCUCCGCUUGUCCCCAUCUGCUGUGACAUCGAGAAGUGAGGGCCCCAGCAGUUCCUGCAGGAAUCGUGGCAAAAAUCUCCAGCCUCAGGACUGCUUGACAAGAGAGGGACUUGCCCUGCCACCACAUGGCGCUCGUAUUUGGAAGUGUUUUCCUUUAGAAAAUUCCAGGUGCCUUUGCUCUCUGAACACACAGCCCGUUUAUGAGGCAACGUUGUCCUCAUUUAUAGGGGGUCUGUUUUCUUUCUUUCCCUCUUGAAGAAACCUGUUAUUCAGUGGGCUGUAAAAUGGAAAGUAAAGAUCAGAGGUAGUGGAAAUAAUAUAAUGUACCUGGCUGGAAACAUGAGAACUCUCCCAUAAAACAUAAGGCAUUUAGAAAUUGUCACCCUAUUAUUUCACCAUGGCCUGUUGGGAAGCCUUCCUCCCUCCUGGUCCUUUUGGCUUUGUCCUGAGCCAUCUUCUUAAAUGGGUAUUCUCCCUUCCUUGACCUCUCAGCUUCCUAAAGGAGAGAAUGCCCUUAAGAACCACGUGGGAUGGUUCGAUGUGGUUUCGUUGGUUGCAAUUGCAUUGAUACAGACAGAUGUGUUAUGUCUCCACUGAGAGACUCUGGAAUGGUUUUUGGUCUCCACCUGGCCAUCCCAUAGGCUGUGCUUUUGCGGGGGUUGUACAGCUUUUUGGAGGGGGGGGAGAUGGCUUUGUUUUUUCUUCCAGGCUACAAAUCGUCUAUCAGGCAGUACCACCCUCACAGACGUUUAUUUUUCCCAAAGCCCCAUUUCUCUCUGCCUUGAAGUCUUGCUGCUUUGAUUGUGUCAGGAACCCUUUGUUCCCUGGGUAUUCGGUACCUUCUGGGCAGCCCCAUCCCAUUUGUGUUCCUAAUGGUUUGCCUCCCGCUGCAGCUGACCAGGCAGCAGGGUCGACCAUGCCAUGGGCCCUUCGCAGGUCCAGCCUCUCCUUGAAUCGUCAUCUGUCUCAGUUCUCCGGGACCUUCUUAGAGCCAGGCUUGUUUUAAACAAAUCCUCCAGCAGAGGAUGUGCAGCCGGCAGGGUCGGGAGGGUCGCUAAGGCCACCCACGCAACACGAGGCAGCAGCCCAGCCCGUCAGAGAGCUCCUUCCCCAGAUAGCUUCUUCCCUUUCUUUCUCUCCUCCUUCCUGACCCCCCCCACCCCCCUCCCUGGCCCGCUUCCUCCCCAGCACAAACCCCAAUAGGUUUCUCUCCAGAGAACAAUAAGCCUCGGUCUUUGGGGCCUGUCCAGAGCUCGGAGGGAAAGUUGAGGUCAGGGUGGCAGGCUGUACAGCUUUCUUUUGAGGCAAACAGAUGGUGAAGGUUAAAUGACAGCUCUCUGACUGCCUCUUUUGAAGUAAUUGGAGAUAAUUUGUAUUUUGAAGCAGAACUUGACCAUUGUCAGAAGGGAAGAAGGUUAAUAUGGAAACGAUUUUACAUUAGCCCCUGUUUCUUGCUCUGCCCCCCCUCCUUCUUUUUUCUCUCCUUCGGAUCCUUGUUCCCUUAAUCCUUGCUCCAGGCAAUUGGUGAGAUCGGCUCUGGGCUCAGGGUGCCUCGUUUUAGGCUGUGGCUGUUAUGAAAGCCAACAACAGCUUAUUAAGGCCAGUGAUAAUCUCUUCUACUGAUGCAUUGUAGCUUUCCAGAGGUCCAAUUAAGGGCGCAUCGGAAGCAAGAUCUUGUAAACCUACGGCCCCGUACCUAGGACAGUUUGCAAACACAUGCAGACUGCUUCCUCGUUUCUGCUUCCGAACGCAAACUGACUUCCUAUCACAGAGAGCAGUGUGUCUGCCUUGAAGAAAGGGACACGCUUGUCGUUCUUGUCUUUCACCGCCUGCCACCCUUCCUCUCCAGACAUGUUAAAAAAAAAAAAAAAUUCUUUUAAUUUCAAAGCCUGGCUUUGGGCUCCCCCUCCGAUGCGAAGCAUGGUAUUGUUUACCUCUCAACUGCGUCCUUUCAGAGAAGUGACAAUACUUCCUGAAAUCCCACUCCAGCAGGGAAGGGGAAGUCAGCCCCUGAAAAAAAAUAAGAAACCCUUUGCAUGUUCUAGAAAAGAGACUUGAGGGAGUGGCCUGUGGAUUUCCCCUUUGCCUCUCCCCAUCAUAAAUUUGCCGGAGCCAGCAGGUUCUUCAAGUAUAAGUGAACAGGGAAAGAAGUUUGCUCUUAUUGGCACUUAGGGGGAAUCUGGAUAGAAAAGAUGCUGCCUUCUGUAGGCGGCUCUGCUAUUAAUCUAGCCAAUUCCUACGUGCCCCAUCUGGGUAUUGCUAGGAACCAAGGGCGCUCUAGUGAAGGGCGGGCACAUUUAUCGUUUCCUGGCAUAUGAGACAUUAAGCAUCGUCAGCACAGCUGAGGGGAACAGCGGGGUCCAUGCUCUCAUAGGCAAGCACUGUCCCUCCCGGGUUGGUUCAGGGGUGCUCUUAGGAUGAGCAGUUAGGUACCUGCACCUCCCACAUCUCCUGAGUAUCAGCAACGGGAGAGAGAUCUGACCACCAGUUGGCUGAAAGUGAAACUCAGUCCUUCCUCUAGCUGGAAAGCAAGACAUUAGCUAUAACUUGCCAUAAAAAGGAUCUAACAUUUAAAAAAUAGCAGUUUUGUUUGACGUGACUAGGGAAAGUUUUAAUCCAUAGAAUCCAGAGAGAAGGAGUGAAAGUGGAGCCUGAAGUCUGUCUACAGCAUGUUUCAGUACUAUCUGCAACAGAAGUGCCGAAGGCAAUAUUGUAUUUUAUUCAUAUACAUCUGGUUUAUUAUGAAGCACAUUUUUUUCCCAGUAACUUCGAGAAAGAAAAGAAGAUAUUGUCGUGUUAUCCCUGGCUUUUUCUUAACCAUCCAAAGUAAAGAAAUGGCUGCAAAACCUUUAGAAGCAAUUCGAGUGCCGCAGUCGCUUUCAUCAGAUGUUCUCUGUAC